Molecule: ribosomal RNA, 468 nt
Filed under: uncultured bacterium
Lineage: Bacteria
Description: partial 16S ribosomal RNA
Rfam family: Bacterial small subunit ribosomal RNA
Source: RNAcentral
GACGAACGCUGGCGGCGUGCCUAACACAUGCAAGUCGAACGGAAAGGCCCUGCUUGCAGGGUGCUCGAGUGGCGAACGGGUGAGUAACACGUGGGUGAUCUGCCCCUUACUUUGGGAUAAGCCUGGGAAACUGGGUCUAAUACUGGAUAGGACCAUGCUGUAGGUGGUGUGGUGGAAAGAUUAGUUUCGGUAAGGGAUGAGCUCGCGGCCUAUCAGCUUGUUGGUGGGGUAAUGGCCUACCAAGGCGUCGACGGGUAGCCGGCCUGAGAGGGUGGACGGCCACAUUGGGACUGAGAUACGGCCCAGACUCCUACGGGAGGCAGCAGUGGGGAAUAUUGCACAAUGGGCGCAAGCCUGAUGCAGCGACGCCGCGUGGGGGAUGACGGCCUUCGGGUUGUAAACUCCUUUCAGCCAUGACGAAGCCUUCGGGUGACGGUAGUGGUAGAAGAAGCACCGGCUAACUACGUG